RNAcentral lists this long non-coding RNA (239 nucleotides) under Capsicum annuum. RNAcentral describes it as "long non-coding RNA (CANN_LNC021315)". Lineage: Eukaryota; Viridiplantae; Streptophyta; Magnoliopsida; Solanales; Solanaceae. The record is from RNAcentral.
UUGCAAAUAAAUCAUGAACUACAAACCCUAUUAACAUAAUAGUCAUUAACACUAUCAAAUUUAAUCAUGAAAAUAAUAAUAUCCAUUUACUUAUAGUUUAAAAAGGUUUCUUGAACUCCAAGUGUUGAAGGAACCCUUGGAUGAACACUUAACAUACCUUAAUGAUUGAAUUCUGAAAAGAUUGAUGGUAAGUUCUUGAGUCUUGAAUUUAAAUUUAAAUCUCCUAGGGUUUGUUUUUU